Molecule: ribosomal RNA, 339 nt
Filed under: Boerhavia diffusa
Lineage: Eukaryota; Viridiplantae; Streptophyta; Magnoliopsida; Caryophyllales; Nyctaginaceae
Description: partial 28S ribosomal RNA
Source: RNAcentral
CGGCCCUGUCCUUCUAAUGUUGCGACCCCAGGUCAGGCGGGACUACCCGCUGAGUUUAAGCAUAUCAAUAAGGCGGAGGAUGUGAAACCUGCCCGCAGAAGACCGGCGAACGUGUUUGCUAUCGGAGGAAGGGGUGGGCCGUCCGGCUCUCUCCGGACUCCUCGUGUCGGUCGCCGCUUCUGAGGAACGGUGCCUCGACGCGCUAACAAACCCGGCGUUGUAAUGCGCUAGGUAGGAAUGAUACUAUCUGUUCGUUUUCGCCCGCAUCGCCGGGAGGUGCCGCACCCCAUCGGUUACCACGACUCUGGCAACGGAUAUCUCUGCUCUCUGUCAUUCUAG